This 758-nucleotide ribosomal RNA is filed under the name Achromobacter sp. Its description in RNAcentral is "bacterial SSU rRNA". It matches the Rfam family "Bacterial small subunit ribosomal RNA", at positions 1 to 760 of the family's 1533-position model. Lineage: Bacteria; Pseudomonadati; Pseudomonadota; Betaproteobacteria; Burkholderiales; Alcaligenaceae. RNAcentral also lists the same sequence under 1 other name. The record is from RNAcentral.
UAGAGUUUGAUCAUGGCUCAGAUUGAACGCUAGCGGGAUGCCUUACACAUGCAAGUCGAACGGCAGCACGGACUUCGGUCUGGUGGCGAGUGGCGAACGGGUGAGUAAUGUAUCGGAACGUGCCCAGUAGCGGGGGAUAACUACGCGAAAGCGUAGCUAAUACCGCAUACGCCCUACGGGGGAAAGCAGGGGAUCGUAAGACCUUGCACUAUUGGAGCGGCCGAUAUCGGAUUAGCUAGUUGGUGGGGUAACGGCUCACCAAGGCGACGAUCCGUAGCUGGUUUGAGAGGACGACCAGCCACACUGGGACUGAGACACGGCCCAGACUCCUACGGGAGGCAGCAGUGGGGAAUUUUGGACAAUGGGGGAAACCCUGAUCCAGCCAUCCCGCGUGUGCGAUGAAGGCCUUCGGGUUGUAAAGCACUUUUGGCAGGAAAGAAACGUCGCGGGUUAAUACCCCGCGAAACUGACGGUACCUGCAGAAUAAGCACCGGCUAACUACGUGCCAGCAGCCGCGGUAAUACGUAGGGUGCAAGCGUUAAUCGGAAUUACUGGGCGUAAAGCGUGCGCAGGCGGUUCGGAAAGAAAGAUGUGAAAUCCCAGAGCUUAACUUUGGAACUGCAUUUUUAACUACCGAGCUAGAGUGUGUCAGAGGGAGGUGGAAUUCCGCGUGUAGCAGUGAAAUGCGUAGAUAUGCGGAGGAACACCGAUGGCGAAGGCAGCCUCCUGGGAUAACACUGACGCUCAUGCACGAAAGC